AAACUAACAAGGAUUCCCCUAGUAACGGCGAGUGAACCGGGAAGAGCUCAAAUUUGAAAUCUGGCGUCCUCAGGGCGUCCGAGUUGUAAUCUAUAGAGGCGUUUUCCGUGCCGGACCGUGUCCAAGUUCCUUGGAACAGGAUAUCAAAGAGGGUGACAAUCCCGUACUUGACACGAUGACCGGUGCUCUGUGAUACGUCUUCUACGAGUCGAGUUGUUUGGGAAUGCAGCUCAAAAUGGGUGGUGAGUUCCAUCUAAAGCUAAAUAUUGGCGAGAGACCGAUAGCGAACAAGUACCGUGAGGGAAAGAUGAAAAGCACUUUGGAAAGAGAGUUAAACAGUACGUGAAAUUGUUGAAAGGGAAACGAUUGAAGUCAGUCGUGACUGAGAGGCUCAGCCGGUUCUGCCGGUGUAUUCCCCUCAGUCGGGUCAACAUCAGUUUUGUCCGGUGGAAAAGGGCGGUAGGAACGUGGCACCUCCGGGUGUGUUAUAGCCUGCCGUCGCAUACAUCGGGUGAGACUGAGGAAUGCAGCUCGCCUUUAUGGCCGGGGUUCGCCCACGU
Molecule: ribosomal RNA, 560 nt
Filed under: Papiliotrema rajasthanensis
Lineage: Eukaryota; Fungi; Basidiomycota; Tremellomycetes; Tremellales; Rhynchogastremaceae
Description: LSU rRNA
Rfam family: Eukaryotic large subunit ribosomal RNA
Source: RNAcentral